This 373-nucleotide ribosomal RNA is filed under the name uncultured organism. RNAcentral describes it as "partial 16S ribosomal RNA". It matches the Rfam family "Bacterial small subunit ribosomal RNA", at positions 527 to 896 of the family's 1533-position model. The record is from RNAcentral.
GUAGGGUGCAAGCGUUAAUCGGGAAUUACUGGGGCGUAAAGCGUGCGCAGGCGGUUAUAUAAGACAGAUGUGAAAUCCCCGGGGCUCAACCUGGGAACUGCAUUUGUGACUGUAUAGCUAGAGUACGGCAGAGGGGGAUGGAAUUCCGCGUGUAGCAGUGAAAUGCGUAGAUAUGCGGAGGAACACCGAUGGCGAAGGCAAUCCCCUGGGCCUGUACUGACGCUCAUGCACGAAAGCGUGGGGAGCAAACAGGAUUAGAUACCCUGGUAGUCCACGCCCUAAACGAUGUCAACUGGUUGUUGGGUCUUCACUGACCCAGUAACGAAGCUAACGCGUGAAGUUGACCGCCUGGGGAGUACGGCCGCAAAGGUUG